GAUAAAAUGGUGAAGGUCGGUGUGAGCAGAUUUGACUGUAUUGGGCAUUUGGUUACCAGGGCUGCCUUCUGCUCUGCACUUGGCAAAGUGGAGAUUGUUGUCAUCAACAACCCCUUCAUGAACCUCAGCUACAUGAUCUACAUGUUCCAGUAUGACUCCACCCAUGGCAAACUCAAUGACAUAGUCAAGGCUGAGAAUGGGAAGCUUGUCAUCAAUGGGAAGACCAUCACCAUCUUCCAGGAGCAAGACCCCACUAACAUCGAAUGGGGUGAUGCUGGUGCUCAGUAUGUUGUGGAGUCUACUGGCAUCUUCACCACCAUGGAGACAGCUGGGGCCCACUUGAAGGGUGGGGCCAAAAGGGUCAUCAUCUCUGCCCCUUCUGCUGAUGCUCCCCUGUUUGUGAUGGGUAUGAACCAUGAGAAAUAUGACAAUUCAUUCAAAAUUGUCAGCAACGCAUCCUGCACUACCAACUGCUUAGAUGCCCCUGGCCAAGGUCAUCCAUGACAACUUUGGCAUUGUGGAAGGGCUCAUGACUACAGUCCAUGCCAUCACUGCCACUCAGAAGACUGUGGAUGGCCCCUCUGGAAAGCUGUGACGUGAUGGCCAUGGGGCUGGCCAGAACAUCAUCCCUGUAUCUACUGGUGCUGCCCAAGGCUGUGGGCAAGGUCAUCCCAGAGCUGAACAGGAAGCUCACUGGCAUGGCCUUCCAUGUUCCUACCCAUAAUGCAUCCCUUGUGGAUCUGACAUGCCACCUGGAGAAACUGGCCAAGUAUGAUGACAUCAAGAAGGUGGUGAAGAAGGCAUCUGAAGGCCCACUGAAGGAUAUCCUGGGCUACACCGAGGACCAGGUUGUCUCCUGCGACUUCAACAGCAACUCCCACUCUUCCACCUUUGAUGCUGGGGUUGGCAUUGCUCUCAAUGACAACUUUGAAAAGCUCAUUUCCUGGUAUGACAAUGAAUAUGGCUGUAGCAACAGGGUUGUGGACCUCAUGUUCUACAUGGCCUCCAAGUAGUAAGAAACCCUGGACCAUCCACCCCAGCAAGGACACUGAGAGCAAGAGAGAGGCUCUCAGUUGCUAUCUCAACUCGGCCCCAAACACUGAGCAUCUCCCUCACAAUUUCCAUCCCAGACUCACAUAACAGAAGGGGCCUGGGGAACCCUCCCUACUCUCUUGAAUGCCAUCAACAAAGUUCCC
This is an RNA transcript of Mastomys coucha (southern multimammate mouse), 1196 nucleotides long. It is a transcript of the gene named glyceraldehyde-3-phosphate dehydrogenase pseudogene, with no coding region annotated. Lineage: Eukaryota; Metazoa; Chordata; Mammalia; Rodentia; Muridae. The transcript has a single exon. The record is from RefSeq and is a predicted model, not a curated record.